AUACGUAGGGGGCGAGCGUUGUCCGGAAUGAUUGGGCGUAAAGGGCGCGUAGGCGGCCCGGUAAGUCUGGAGUGAAAGUCCUGUUUUUAAGAUGGGAAUUGCUUUGGAUACUGUCGGGCUUGAGUGCAGGAGAGGUAAGUGGAAUUCCCAGUGUAGCGGUGAAAUGCGUAGAGAUUGGGAGGAACACCAGUGGCGAAGGCGACUUACUGGACUGUAACUGACGCUGAGGCGCGAAAGUGUGGGGAGCAAACAGGAUUAGAUACCCUGGUAGUCCACACUGUAAACGAUGAAUGCUAGGUGUAGGGGGUAUCAACCCCUUCUGUGCCGCAGUCAACACAAUAAGCAUUCCGCCUGGGGAGUACGGCCGCAAGGUUGAAACUCAAAUGAAUUGACGGGG
This 397-nucleotide ribosomal RNA is filed under the name uncultured bacterium. RNAcentral describes it as "partial 16S ribosomal RNA". It matches the Rfam family "Bacterial small subunit ribosomal RNA", at positions 523 to 918 of the family's 1533-position model. The record is from RNAcentral.